UUGUUAAUUACUGCAAGUUUUCUGGUCGUAAAAUAUAUAAAGAAAAAGUCUUCCCAAUUGCUUGUUCGGCAACGAAUGGUUAGUUAACUAUCCCUUUUCUUGUUUGAAUUGCUCUAUAUAUGUCUUAAUCACUAUAAACCAAAACCUUAUACCUAGGUUUCCGUGAAUCCUGGGACACUAAAAUUGGGCGUUUUAAUUCAGUUUUAUCCCCUACCUUUUCCUCGAUCAUCUCUAUCCCAAAAAAAAGUGUUAGAGAUAAUGCAUCUUUGGCCUUCAAUUAAGAUUAGGAACUCCUUCAAGCAUGAUUACUUUCAUAAUAUUGAGCGAGUCAACAGUGAGAACAAACGAUCUCAAUCUGCCACUGAAGUCCAUCAAAAUUUCUGGCUUCUCACUUUCUGUCAAGAAUUUCUUAUGAUUUUCAGUUGCUGUUUCUGUUUUGGAAAUUUAUGUGAAGAUGACAUUGGUUUCAUUUAGCUGAGGUUGCCAAUCUAUUAAUUCUAUUUCUAUACAAGCUUAGUAUGUAAUGAAUAGCCUUACUACAUAUGUUGAAGGUUCCAUAAGCAUUCAACAAUCAAUUUCACCUAGUACAUGUCUAAUGAAUUGCUGAACUCUGAUACUAUCACUUGCAAGAAAAUUGGAGUUAGCAAUUCAUCUCGCGUGAAACUGUGGUCCUCGUUAACAUCGGGAAUUCUGUGAAGUGCAAUUUGUUUGUUACAUUGAUCUUUCAGAAGUGUUGUGAUCUGAUGACAGUUACAUCGGUUAUUAGCUGGUGUUAAGAGUGCUGCAUCGUUCAAAAUUCUGCUGUACAGUUUAUGAUUUUUAACACUUGUAGGUAAAUCGUGCUGCUUGGUCUUGUUGGGGCCUGAAAUUGUAAUUCCAUUGUCGACAUACUUCUUGCAGCCUAUUUAGUUUAUGAUUAAUAUUUUGGCCAAAGCCCGGCUUAUUGUUGAAAUUGCUGUUGAUAAAUAUUUUUAUACAUAACCAAUUUAGUUUA
Molecule: long non-coding RNA, 994 nt
Organism: Beta vulgaris subsp. vulgaris (sugar beet)
Lineage: Eukaryota; Viridiplantae; Streptophyta; Magnoliopsida; Caryophyllales; Amaranthaceae
Exons: 2
Source: RefSeq, a predicted model, not a curated record